UUCAUAUAGAGUCAUCCCCCAUAGGCAGAAAGUGUCUAUCUUUCCUUCUAUAUUCCCCACCGAGUUAUGUCCUCGUGGAUGAUUAUUAUUUCAGUUUCCUCCCUGAAUAUGUAUUGGGAUGGAAUUACUCCCCUGAGUUAUAUCCUUAUUGGGUUGAGUCUUGUUUCAUUGUGUCUCUCUAGUUUGUUCCUAGAUUAACUCCUUUC
RNAcentral lists this long non-coding RNA (206 nucleotides) under Lathyrus oleraceus (garden pea). RNAcentral's name for it is "Pisum sativum (pea) long non-coding RNA (PSAT_LNC005499)". Lineage: Eukaryota; Viridiplantae; Streptophyta; Magnoliopsida; Fabales; Fabaceae. The record is from RNAcentral.